CAAGGCUUAGAUAGAAAAGAUUAGUUAUCAAUGAGAGAAUGGAAAGUUCUAGAUGCACCUGAUGUUAUUUCCAGAUAUUGCCCACAGGAGCUUGAAGCAUGUAGUUUAGACCUUAGAUAAGCAGGAAUCCACAUUCCCAAGACACAUUUCACCACUACCCCAGGUUCUUUCUUGGAAUAGCCAGUUUCACCAAGUGUUCCUGUGUUUCCCUUCCAUCUGCCUGUUUUUCCCAACCUCAGAUGACAGGAAUAGGCAGCUGCCCCUUGCCAAGCAUUGGUGGGAGAUUCCCAAAUGUUCACCUGCUGCAGGGACAAGGGCAGGGUUGGACUGACUCCAUAACUUUAGCUGGAAGCCUUGCUCAGGAGUGCCCCCUACUUGAUGAAGGGAAAAGGUCAGACAAAUGGUCUCAAAGAACUGAAAGGUUGGAAUCUCCUCAGAAUUUCCUGAGAACAGCAAUGGUAGAGAUUUCCCAGCACACAAGAUGGCGGGCGAUGGAGACAUGGAGAGCGUCAGCACACACUGGACAGGAGCAGAGAGAGGAGAGGAAGGGAUGAGGAUGACACACUGUGAUCCAGGGCAUCCGGCCAGAAUGAACUUCAAAUAUGAAGAAAUUCCACAAAUAAUGCAUUUUCUGUUCUUACCUCCAUGCCCUUAUUGAAAACACCAUUCACUGUUCUUCCAGUAAGUUCCUUCGUUCAACAAUCGGGCCACUGUCCCAGAGACUUGGCAAGGGCCUUUGACAUCACCAACAGCAAGGGAAAUGUUUU
RNAcentral lists this long non-coding RNA (767 nucleotides) under Homo sapiens (human). Its description in RNAcentral is "HSALNT0160572". Lineage: Eukaryota; Metazoa; Chordata; Mammalia; Primates; Hominidae. The record is from RNAcentral.